AAACAUGUCUUUUUGAAAAUAAUUUAAAGUCUAAUCUGCCCACUGAUNAAAUUAUUAAAGGGCUGCAGUAUUUUGACUGUACAAAGGUAGCAUAAUCAUUAGUCUCUUAAUUGGUGACUUGUAUGAAAGAUUGGAUGAAAUAUAUACUGUCUCUAAUUAAUUUAUAAAAUUUAAUUUUUUAGUAAAAAAGCUAAAAUAAUUUUAAAAGACGAGAAGACCCUAUAGAGUUUAAUAAUUUAUUUAAUUAUUAUUAAUAUUUAAAUUUUAAAAUUAAAAUUAAAUAAAUUAUUUUGUUGGGGUGAUAGAAAAAUUAAAUUAACUUUUUUUUUAUUUUAAACAUAAAUUUAUGAAUAGAUGAUCCAUUAAUAAUGAUUAAAAGAAAAAAUUACCUUAGGGAUAACAGCGUAAUUUUUUUUUUUAGUUCAAAUAGGAAAAAAAGUUUGCGACCUCGAUGUUGGAUUAAGAUAAAAUUUAAAUGCAAAA
RNAcentral lists this ribosomal RNA (483 nucleotides) under Papilio paris paris. RNAcentral's name for it is "partial 16S ribosomal RNA". The record is from RNAcentral. Lineage: Eukaryota; Metazoa; Arthropoda; Insecta; Lepidoptera; Papilionidae.